GAUGAACGCUGGCGGCGUGCUUAACACAUGCAAGUCGAACGGGAAACCUUUUAUUGAAGCUUCGGCAGAUUUAGCUGGUUUCUAGUGGCGGACGGGGGAGUAACGCGUGGGUAACCUGCCUUAUACAGGGGGAUAACAACCAGAAAUGGUUGCUAAUACCGCAUAAGCGCACAGGACCGCAUGGUCCGGUGUGAAAAACUCCGGUGGUAUAAGAUGGACCCGCGUUGGAUUAGCUGGUUGGCAGGGUAACGGCCUACCAAGGCGACGAGGCAGAGCCGGCCUGAGAGGGUGAACCGCCACAAUGGGACUGCGGCACGGCCCAGACUGCUACGGGACGCAGGAGUGGAGAAUAUUGCAGAAUGGAGGAAAAUGUGAUGCAGCGACGCGGCGUGAAGGAAGAAGUAUCUCGGUAUGUAAACUCCUAUCAGCAGAGGAGAGAGUGACGGUACCUGACUAAGAAGCCCCGGCUAACUACGUG
Molecule: ribosomal RNA, 478 nt
Filed under: uncultured bacterium
Lineage: Bacteria
Description: partial 16S ribosomal RNA
Rfam family: Bacterial small subunit ribosomal RNA
Source: RNAcentral